CCUGCCGAAUGAAUUAGCCCUGAAAAUGGAUGGCGCUCAAGCGGGUAGCCGACACUGUGCCAUCUGGCCCAAAAAAUAUUAUGUAAGUGACAGAUGAGUAGGAAGGAAACGUAGCGGUCGUAUAGAAGCGUGUGCGCAAGCAUGCGUGGAACGGCCGCUAGUGCAGAUCUUGGUGGUAGUAGCAAAUAUUCAAAUGAGAACCUUGAAGGGCGAAGCGGGGAAGGGUUCCAUGCGAACAUUGAUUGGGCAUGGGUGAGUCGUUCCUAAGCCGUCUGGUAAUUGGCUAGACAUUUCGGCGAAAGGGAAGCAGGUUGAUAUUCCUGCACACGGAUGUGGAAAUGCGGUGACGCACACUGAGGCGGUGAAGCCGUCGGUUGCACUGGGCAGAGAUUUCUUUUCUGUUUGACGGAGCCUGACUGUACACUAUGGAAUCCGCUUGUCGGGAGAAAUAGGUAUGUCACGGCAAAGCGCCGGGUUUUUUUUCUGGCGUCCAGUUUGCGACUGGCGGACCAUGAAAAGCUGUCUGCUGGCAAAACCACUGUGUUUUGUGUGAAAAAUUCCACGCCGUAACGUACCCAUAACCGCAUCAAGUCCCCAAGAAG
This 602-nucleotide ribosomal RNA is filed under the name Bostrychia tenella. RNAcentral's name for it is "eukaryotic LSU rRNA". It matches the Rfam family "Eukaryotic large subunit ribosomal RNA", at positions 1293 to 1874 of the family's 3401-position model. Lineage: Eukaryota; Rhodophyta; Florideophyceae; Ceramiales; Rhodomelaceae. The record is from RNAcentral.